AUGAAGAUCCAUGUGGUCGAGACGCUAACGGGCAGGGCCAUGAACCUUGCGGUGACGAGCUCAGAUACAGUAAACAAUGUCAAGGCCAAGAUUCACGAGUGGCAUGGCUUUCCCAAGGACCAGCAGUGCCUCAUCUUCGCCAACAGACAGCUCGACGAUGAAGGCAGCACCCUGGCGGACCUCAACAUCUGCAACAACACCACCCUCCUCCUCGUCCUCCACAGCCGGUGCCUGAGAGGGAGGAUGACCAUCUACGUGAAGACGUUAAGAGACAAAUUCUAUAAUCUUGAGGUGGAAAGCGCAGAUACGAUAUAUAAUGUCAAGGAGAAGAUCUGGGCUAAGGAAGGCAUUCCACCGGACCUGCAGCGCCUCAUAUUUGACCGCAAGUUAAUGGAGGAUGACCGUACCUUGGCAACGUACAAUAUUCAGAUGUAUGAAGUUCUCUAUUUAGGGCUCAACCUACGUGGUUGA
This 471-nucleotide ribosomal RNA is filed under the name Triticum aestivum (bread wheat). RNAcentral's name for it is "partial small subunit ribosomal RNA". The record is from RNAcentral. Lineage: Eukaryota; Viridiplantae; Streptophyta; Magnoliopsida; Poales; Poaceae.